UUCCGGUUGAUCCUGCCGGACCUGACUGCUAUCGGAUUGGUACUAAGCCAUGUGAGUCAUUGUAGCAAUACAAGGCAUACGGCUCAGUAACACGUAGUCAAUCUAACCUAUGGACGUGGAUAACCUCGGGAAACUGAGAAUAAUCCGCGAUAGAUCAUUAUACCUGGAACGGUUUAUGGUCGAAAUGAUUCGUCGCCAUAGGAUGGGACUGCGGCCUAUCAGCUUGUUGGUGAGGUAAUGGCCCACCAAGGCUAUUACAGGUACGGGCUCUGAGAGGAGAAGCCCGGAGAUGGGUACUGAGACACGGACCCAGGCCCUAUGGGGCGCAGCAGGCGAGAAACCUUUGCAAUGUGCGCAAGCACGACAAGGUUAAUCCGAGUGUUUCCUGCUAAAGGAAUCUUUUGUUAGUUCUAAAACCACUGAUGAAUAAGGGGUGGGCAAGUUCUGGUGUCAGCCGCCGCGGUAAAACCAGCACCUCAAGUGGUCAGGAGGAUUAUUGGGCCUAAAGCAUCCGUAGCCGGUUCUGUAAGUUCCCGGUUAAAUCCACUAGCUCAACUAAUGGGCUGCCGGAAAUACUGCAGAACUAGGGAGUGGGAGAGGUAGACGGUACUCGGUAGGAAGGGGUAAAAUCCUUUGAUCUAUUGAUGACCACCUGUGGCGAAGGCGGUCU
RNAcentral lists this ribosomal RNA (670 nucleotides) under uncultured archaeon. RNAcentral describes it as "bacterial SSU rRNA". It matches the Rfam family "Archaeal small subunit ribosomal RNA", at positions 1 to 678 of the family's 1478-position model. The record is from RNAcentral.